Molecule: long non-coding RNA, 224 nt
Filed under: Phaseolus vulgaris (common bean)
Lineage: Eukaryota; Viridiplantae; Streptophyta; Magnoliopsida; Fabales; Fabaceae
Description: long non-coding RNA (PVUL_LNC004387)
Source: RNAcentral
UAGGACUCUUUUUGUGUGCCUUCUUUACUCAUUGAGUUCCUUAUUUUCUUGAUUGUCUUUCAUUCAUAUUCUUUCUAGUUUGUCAUACAUUGCUCUCUGUUUUUUGGUUUAGCUUUUAUUGUUUCUACCUUUUCUUGCUUGUCUUUUUUGUUCUUCUUAAAGUUGUGUGGAGACUUGUUCUUAAGUAAGUUGGUUUGUUGUGACAUAUUUCACUUGAAGCUACU